This 705-nucleotide ribosomal RNA is filed under the name uncultured Bacteroidota bacterium. RNAcentral describes it as "bacterial SSU rRNA". It matches the Rfam family "Bacterial small subunit ribosomal RNA", at positions 39 to 737 of the family's 1533-position model. The record is from RNAcentral. Lineage: Bacteria; Pseudomonadati; Bacteroidota.
GCGGGAGGCCUAACACAUGCAAGUCGAGGGGUAACGGAAGUAGCUUGCUACUAGACGACGACCGGCGCACGGGUGAGUAACGCGUAUGUAAUCUGCCUUGUACAGAGGGAUAGCCCAGAGAAAUUUGGAUUAAUACCUCAUAGUAUUACUGAGUCGCAUGAUUUGGUAAUUAAAGCUCCGGCGGUACAAGAUGAACAUGCGUGACAUUAGCUAGUUGGUAAGGUAACGGCUUACCAAGGCUACGAUGUCUAGGGGUUCUGAGAGGAUGAUCCCCCACACUGGUACUGAGACACGGACCAGACUCCUACGGGAGGCAGCAGUGAGGAAUAUUGGUCAAUGGACGCAAGUCUGAACCAGCCAUCCCGCGUGAAGGAUGACUGCCCUAUGGGUUGUAAACUUCUUUUAUAUGCAAAUAAACCUACUUUCGUGAAAGUAGCUGAAGGUAGCAUAUGAAUAAACACCGGCUAACUCCGUGCCAGCAGCCGCGGUAAUACGGAGGGUGUAAGCGUUAUCCGGAUUUAUUGGGUUUAAAGGGUACGUAGGCGGUAAUAUAAGUCAGUGGUGAAAUCCUGCAGCUCAACUGUAGAACUGCCAUUGAAACUGUAUUACUUGAGUAUACUUGAGGUAGGCGGAAUGAGUAGUGUAGCGGUGAAAUGCUUAGAUAUUACUCAGAACACCGAUUGCGAAGGCAGCUUACUAAGGUAU